AGCAGCGUGGCUCAGUGGAAAGAGCACGGCUGGGGAGUCAGAGGUCAUGGGUUCAAAUCCCAGCUCUGCCG
RNAcentral lists this transfer RNA (71 nucleotides) under Ornithorhynchus anatinus (platypus). It matches the Rfam family "tRNA". From Rfam's summary of the family: Transfer RNA (tRNA) molecules are approximately 80 nucleotides in length. Their secondary structure includes four short double-helical elements and three loops (D, anti-codon, and T loops). Lineage: Eukaryota; Metazoa; Chordata; Mammalia; Monotremata; Ornithorhynchidae. The record is from Rfam by way of RNAcentral.